RNAcentral lists this ribosomal RNA (484 nucleotides) under uncultured bacterium. Its description in RNAcentral is "partial 16S ribosomal RNA". It matches the Rfam family "Bacterial small subunit ribosomal RNA", at positions 30 to 507 of the family's 1533-position model. The record is from RNAcentral.
AUUGAACGCUGGCGGCAGGCCUAACACAUGCAAGUCGAGCGGAUGAAGGGAGCUUGCUCCUGGAUUCAGCGGCGGACGGGUGAGUAAUGCCUAUGAAUCUGCCUGGUAGUGGGGUAUAACGUCCUGAAACGGGCGCUAAUACCGCAUACGUCCUGAGGGAGAAAGUGGGGGAUCUUCGGACCGCACGCUAUCAGAUGAGCCUAGGUCGGAUUAGCUAGUUGGUGGGGUAAAGGCCUACCAAGGCGACGAUCCGUAACUGGUCUGAGAGGAUGAUAAGUCACACUGGAACUGAGACACGGUCCAGACUCCUACGGGAGGCAGCAGUGGGGAAUAUUGGACAAUGGGCGAAAGCCUGAUACAGCCAUGCCGCGUGUGUGAAGAAGGUCUUCGGAUUGUAAAGCACUUUUAGUUGGGAGAGAGGGCAGUAAGUUAAUACCUUGCUGUUUUGACGUUACCAACAGAAUAAGCACCGGCUAACUUCGUG